AUAUUACUUAUUUAUUGUGGUUGCAAGCUUUUGGGAUUCUAUUUGGGUUUUGCUUGAGUAUGUCUGAGGUUUCCCUGCUAUGUGGACAAAGGCGGAUAAUUUUUGUUCGUGUAUGUGUGUGUGUGGUUGGCAUGGUCUUUUCUCUCUCAUCUGGUCUCCAUUACGACUGGGAGUAUAAAACUACUGCACUGAGAGAGAGCUCCACAGAGCCGACUUAACACACUAACCCCACAAGCUAACACACUCGUGCAGCUUUUGCUAUGGUGCUGUGGGUCUUUUUGCUCUUUCUGCAGGGAUGUCUGCUCACACAUGCUCUGGACUGCAGGGGCAGGAGUGUGGACUGUGUCAGUACACAGGCUACAGAGGUCAAGGUUAAAGAUGAGUCCUUGUCUUCUCUGAUGAGCGCUCAAAGACAAGCUCAACUCACUCAGCAGCCUGGAUCUUAUUCAGUCAAAGGAUCUCCUAACACACUCAUCCAAACUGACAGGUCGAGGCGACAUUUGACUGCUAGUAAAAAAAAGCCCCACAGAUCUCGCAUCGGCUCUUACUCACUUCUUUCCCAUAACCACGCAACCAACCAACUGCAGGUCGUAAGUGCUCAUAGACACUUUGAGGAUGUGUCCCAUCCCAAAUUGACUGCAUUAAAGGUAAGUUCUCUUAAACAUAUAAAUUUUUCUGACAAUUUAGUGUCAAAUGUUGGAACUACAGCUCUAUUUCUAUUUUAG
Cyprinus carpio (common carp) is the source of this 725-nucleotide long non-coding RNA. The record is from Ensembl. NCBI's taxonomy places the organism in Eukaryota, Metazoa, Chordata, Actinopteri, Cypriniformes, Cyprinidae.